This 501-nucleotide ribosomal RNA is filed under the name Talaromyces funiculosus. RNAcentral describes it as "eukaryotic LSU rRNA". The stretch from base 158 to 311 matches the Rfam family "5.8S ribosomal RNA". Lineage: Eukaryota; Fungi; Ascomycota; Eurotiomycetes; Eurotiales; Trichocomaceae. The record is from RNAcentral.
CAACCUCCCCACCCUUGUCUCUAUACACCUGUUGCUUUGGCGGGCCCACCGGGGCCACCUGGUCGCCGGGGGACAUCUGUCCCCGGGCCCGCGCCCGCCGAAGCGCUCUGUGAACCCUGAUGAAGAUGGGCUGUCUGAGUACUAUGAAAAUUGUCAAAACUUUCAACAAUGGAUCUCUUGGUUCCGGCAUCGAUGAAGAACGCAGCGAAAUGCGAUAAGUAAUGUGAAUUGCAGAAUUCCGUGAAUCAUCGAAUCUUUGAACGCACAUUGCGCCCCCUGGCAUUCCGGGGGGCAUGCCUGUCCGAGCGUCAUUUCUGCCCUCAAGCACGGCUUGUGUGUUGGGUGCGGUCCCCCCGGGGACCUGCCCGAAAGGCAGCGGCGACGUCCGUCUGGUCCUCGAGCGUAUGGGGCUUUGUCACUCGCUCGGGAAGGACUGGCGGGGGUUGGUCACCACCAAAAUUUUACCACGGUGACCUCGGAUCAGGUACCAGUAACCCCACC